Rattus norvegicus (Norway rat) is the source of this 1854-nucleotide long non-coding RNA. RefSeq lists it as uncharacterized. The record is from RefSeq and is a predicted model, not a curated record. NCBI's taxonomy places the organism in Eukaryota, Metazoa, Chordata, Mammalia, Rodentia, Muridae.
AAGAGGAGGAGGGGGAGCAGCAAGAGGAACAGGAGGAAGAAGAAGGGAAGGAAGGAAAAGAAAGGAAAGGAAAAGAAAGAAUAAAGUUUGAGAGGGAGAAAAAUAUUCAUUUUCAAGUGAUAAGAUUGUCUAAAUAUAGCAGAAUCAUAGAAAGAAAAUUGGAACUAAUUAGCAAUUAUAGUAAGAUUGCAGGGCAUAAUUUUAACAUAAAUUAAUUGUUUUCCUAUAUACCAGCAAAGAACAAGUAGAAUUUGAAAUUAAAAACACAUUUCCAUUUACAUUAAUUUCCUAAGCAACUUCUACUUAUAUUUAAAUCCAACGAAGUAGUAAAAGAUUUAUAUGAGAAAAACCUACAAAACUCUGAAGAAAGAUGCUGUAUUACUUAAUUUUCUAUUCCUGUGGUAAAGCACCAUGACUAAGGCAGGUGUGUAUGAGAGGAGGGAUGCUAGGGGGAGGGGUUAUGAGAGCAGAGGAUGGUGGGACAGAAAAGGUAUGAGAGGAGACGAGGUUGGGACAGGAAGUGGCUGAAAGGAGAGGAGGUUGGGACAGGAAGUGGCUGAAAGGAGAGGAUGUUGGGACAGGAAGUGGCUGAAAGGAGAGGAUGUUGGGACAGGAAGUGGCUGAAAGCAGAGGAUGUUGGGGUAGGAAGUACCUGGGGGUAGGGGAUGUGGGACAGGGAGUGUAUAAAAGUGCGUGACGCUGGGACAGAGAGUGUCUGAGGAAGGAGUGUCACACCAGGAUGGUACAGAACUCUAUGCCUACUGCUCAACGCUUCUAUAAAUUUAAACUGCAUUUCAAACGAAAUGUACUAACUGAAAAUACUUCAGUAGCAAAGGUUUUGCUUUUACCUCCUCUGCUUCCAUUGCCUUCCCUGAGGCCAGCUAACUCCUGAGGUGGUGAUAGCAAGAGACGUCUGUUACAGCAACAAACUGGAAGAGAUACAGAAAAAAAGUCACAGUGAGAGCACGGCUAUCUCUCAGUCACCUCAUACUAGGUCAGAUGCUCUUCCAUCAAGAGUCCUGUGUGAUUCUGCUGAACUCACAGGUCAGUGCCUGGCUCAGCCAUCACCAGAGAAGCUUCCUCCUACAACAGAUGGGAACAAAAACCACAGCAGGACAUUGCACAGGAAGGAGAGACUAGAGUCUACAUGGAAUUACAACAAAUAGGAGUCAAGAAGCCACCUGUGUACCCUCAGGUCCACUGUGAAGUGUUUGGGGUUUACAAUUCUCCAUGUGAACCAAAGGGAGAGAGAGACAAUGAUGUACCAGUACCCGGCUCCUGUGCGGGUUAGUGGGCCAGGUCAGCUCUUUGCCAACAACCUCUUCACUAUGAGUGGACUACUGUCCACUAAGAAGUCACCAACAUUUGAAUCUUACUUGGUGUUUCAGAUGCUAAUGAACAUUCAAACACGAUCACCAAAGAACUUUCCACCCCAAUUGUAACAACUUUGGUUCACAUAGACAGGCUCUGCUUCAUUGUUCUGAAGUUUGCUCCUUCUGAAAAAUAAAAGGAAACAGCCAUCGAAAUUCAUCAUGAUAGUAAAAGGACUCGUCCCCCAAAGCAUGCUACAUUACGAACACCUGCAGUUCCUUCCAAACUCGAAGAUGUCAAACGGCUGACCUAUAACAAGGGGCUGGAGGCGUGGGAUUAUCCCUCUGUGGGAACAGGGCAUCUUCUGUGGACCAUCCCAGUUGAAAAUCAUCAUCACACAUCAUAAAGUCCUGCUCUAAAGGAAACUAUGUGAAAGGCCUCUGUCACCUUUGCCCUGGGAGAGACUGUCCAAAGAAAAUCCCACACAUCUCUUUUCAACCAUCACCCAGGACUUAAAAGCACAGUAAAUUCUGUACUUGGUUA